AGAGUUUGAUCCUGGCUCAGAAUGAACGCUGGCGGCGUGGAUUAGGCAUGCAAGUCGAACGCGAACGAGAAUCUUCGGAAUCUCUAGUAGAGUGGCGAACUGGUGAGUAACGCUUGGGGAAUCUGCCCUUGAGUGGGGAACAUGUCCGAAAGACGUAAAUCCCGCAUGACAUCUUCCGCUCGCAUGUGUAGAAGAUCAAAGGUGCCCUCUGAUUCAAGGUGCCGCUUGAGGAUGACCCCGAGUCCUAUUAGCUUGUUGGUGGGGUAAUGGCCCACCAAGGCGAUGAUGGGUAGCUGGCCUGAGAGGGUGGUCAGCCACACUGGGACUGAGAUACGGCCCAGACUCCUAAGGGAGGCAGCAGUCGAGAGGCAUCCGCAAUGGGCGAAAGCCCGACGGUGCGACGCCGCGUGGACGAUGAAGGCCUUCGGGUCGUAAAGUCCUGUCACAGGGGGGAGAACAAUCCCCAUAUCAAUAGUAUGGGGAUCUGACGUUGCCCCUGGAGAAAGACCCGGCUAACUCCGUGCCAGCAGCCGCGGUAAUACGGAGGGGUCGAGCGUUAUUCGGAUUCACUGGGCGUAAAGGGCGCGUAGGCGGGAUCGUGGGUCGGCCGUGAAAUCCACCGGCUCAACCGGUGAACUGCGGUCGAAACUACGAUUCUUGAGUUCGGUAGAGGAAUGCGGAAUUCCUGGUGUAGCGGUGGAAUGCGUAGAUAUCAGGAAGAACACCGGUAGCGAAGGCGGCAUUCUGGGCCGUAACUGACGCUGAGGCGCGAAAGCCGGGGGAGCGAACAGGAUUAGAUACCCUGGUAGUCCCGGCCGUAAACGAUGGGUACUAGGUGUAGGGGGUACUGACCCCCUCUGUGCCGCAGUUAACGCAUUAAGUACCCCGCCUGGGGAGUACGCACGCAAGUGUGAAACUCAAAGGAAUUGACGGGGCCCCGCACAAGCGGUGGAGCAUGUGGAUCAAUUCGACGCAACGCGAAGAACCUUACCGGGGUUUGACAUGUACCGGACAACCAUGGAAACAUGGUCUCCCUUCGGGGUCGGUACACAGGUGCUGCAUGGCUGUCGUCAGCUCGUGUCGUGAGAUGUUGGGUUAAGUCCCGCAACGAGCGCAACCCUCGUCGCCUGUUGCCAUCAGGUUAAGCUGGGCACUCUGGCGAGACUGCCCGCGAUAUGCGGGAGGAAGGCGGGGAUGACGUCAAGUCCUCA
This 1211-nucleotide ribosomal RNA is filed under the name metagenome. RNAcentral's name for it is "bacterial SSU rRNA". It matches the Rfam family "Bacterial small subunit ribosomal RNA", at positions 8 to 1195 of the family's 1533-position model. The record is from RNAcentral.